AAAAAGUGGAGACCAGCGACCACUCAAAAAACGGGGCGACACCGAAAAGCCAGACGAGUAAGAAAACA
Non-coding RNA from Bacteroidetes bacterium GWA2_32_17, 68 nucleotides. Lineage: Bacteria; Pseudomonadati; Bacteroidota. The record is from Rfam.